AACGAACGCUGGCGGCAGGCCUAACACAUGCAAGUCGAGCGAGAUCUUCGGAUCUAGCGGCGGACGGGUGAGUAACGCGUGGGAAUAUGCCCUUUGGUACGGAAUAGCCUCGGGAAACUGAGAGUAAUACCGUAUGUGCCCUUCGGGGGACAGAUUUAUCGCCAAAGGAUUAGCCCGCGUUGGAUUAGGUAGUUGGUGGGGUAAUGGCCUACCAAGCCUACGAUCCAUAGCUGGUUUGAGAGGAUGAUCAGCCACACUGGGACUGAGACACGGCCCAGACUCCUACGGGAGGCAGCAGUGGGGAAUCUUAGACAAUGGGGGAAACCCUGAUCUAGCCAUGCCGCGUGAGUGAUGAAGGCCUUAGGGUUGUAAAGCUCUUUCAGCUGGGAAGAUAGUGACGGUACCAGCAGAAGAAGCCCCGGCUAACUCCGUGCCAGCCGCCGCAGUAA
Molecule: ribosomal RNA, 449 nt
Filed under: uncultured bacterium
Lineage: Bacteria
Description: partial 16S ribosomal RNA
Rfam family: Bacterial small subunit ribosomal RNA
Source: RNAcentral